RNAcentral lists this non-coding RNA (30 nucleotides) under Rattus norvegicus (Norway rat). Lineage: Eukaryota; Metazoa; Chordata; Mammalia; Rodentia; Muridae. The record is from RNAcentral.
UACAUUGUUCUCACGUCACAAUCUGCCACC